AGGGUUUGUUGAGUUGUGUGAUUAUUGUUUGUUUAUUUGUUUGAUAAUUGUUAGUUGUGUUGUGUAAUUUUUGUUUGUUUAGUUGUUUGAUUAUUGUUAGUUGAGUAGUAUGAUUUUUUAGAGGUGAGUUUUAUGAUUAUAGUUUGUUGAUUGAUUUUUGUUUAUUUAGUUUUAUGUUUAUUGUUUUUAGAGGUAUAUGAUUAGUGUGUGAUAUUAAAUAUGAUUAGUAUAUGAUUAGUUAUAUGAUUAAUGUAUGAUAAGUUAGGUGAAUAGUGUAUGAUUAA
RNAcentral lists this unclassified non-coding RNA (284 nucleotides) under Hevea brasiliensis (rubber tree). The record is from RNAcentral. Lineage: Eukaryota; Viridiplantae; Streptophyta; Magnoliopsida; Malpighiales; Euphorbiaceae.